Molecule: long non-coding RNA, 481 nt
Organism: Zingiber officinale
Lineage: Eukaryota; Viridiplantae; Streptophyta; Magnoliopsida; Zingiberales; Zingiberaceae
Exons: 2
Source: RefSeq, a predicted model, not a curated record
AAUAGAAUCUAUUUAUUAUUAUUAUUAUUCCUUACUUAGGCGGCAUAAUGGUGAGGAGGAAGCAUCGAAGAAGGUGCCGAUAACGACGACCUUUCGAACCUUUAUCCCGCGUCUUCCUUGAUCUCCUCGGCAUCAAUGUCCAAGACCCUUGUUACCUUCGACGAGCGAGUUGCUCGACCGACCUGAUCGAGUGAUCGGCGUGUUCUUCGCCUAAAACGAGAUUGGAUCUUUAUGGCUCUUUAGCGCCGGUGUUACUGCGAUGGAGCUCGUUGCUGACGAGGCGAUGGCUGAGGGGGAAGAUGUGGAGGCGGAACCCUCCUUGGAGUGCUUCAUGACAGAAAAAUAUAUGCAAAUAAAAUUUGCACAAUCUAUUGUUCUUCUAGAACUAGUGUGUUGGAGGGCUUGAGUUAACUUCAUGUCGAAACUCGCAAGGUAUGACAAGUUUGUGAAACUAAAUAGCAUUGGAAAAUUGGUUUGAUGA